This 468-nucleotide ribosomal RNA is filed under the name uncultured bacterium. RNAcentral's name for it is "partial 16S ribosomal RNA". It matches the Rfam family "Bacterial small subunit ribosomal RNA", at positions 28 to 507 of the family's 1533-position model. The record is from RNAcentral.
GACGAACGCUGGCGGCGUGCUUAACACAUGCAAGUCGAACGGAAAGGCCCUGCUUUUGUGGGGUGCUCGAGUGGCGAACGGGUGAGUAACACGUGAGUAACCUGCCCUUGACUUUGGGAUAACUUCAGGAAACUGGGGCUAAUACCGGAUAGGAGCUCCUGCUGCAUGGUGGGGGUUGGAAAGUUUCGGCGGUUGGGGAUGGACUCGCGGCUUAUCAGCUUGUUGGUGGGGUAGUGGCUUACCAAGGCUUUGACGGGUAGCCGGCCUGAGAGGGUGACCGGCCACAUUGGGACUGAGAUACGGCCCAGACUCCUACGGGAGGCAGCAGUGGGGAAUAUUGCACAAUGGGCGGAAGCCUGAUGCAGCAACGCCGCGUGCGGGAUGUCGGCCUUCGGGUUGUAAACCGCUUUCGCCUGCGACGAAGCGUGAGUGACGGUAAUGGGUAAAGAAGCACCGGCUAACUACGUG